Rattus norvegicus (Norway rat) is the source of this 1989-nucleotide non-coding RNA. The record is from RefSeq and is a predicted model, not a curated record. Lineage: Eukaryota; Metazoa; Chordata; Mammalia; Rodentia; Muridae.
UUGAUACAUUUCCAGGGGAGUAUCCCUCUCUCUCUCUCCUUGUCACAACAUGUCAAUGACUUGUACAAUAAUCGUCUGUAGAUGAAGUCCUAUACUCUACCCUGAGAGUAGAAGAUUUAUCUGUGUGGCUCCUAUUGGAUAUCUUUCUCAUUCAGAGUGAAAUUAAGGAACUCAUAGCAAACUAACUGCAUGCUUGUCAAUUUCUGGCUGUCUGCCAAAUAUUCAUCAGAUAUUCUUGACGCUUGGUCCCUUCUUUAAAAGUCCAGAUGUUUCAGACCAUAAGUCCUGCUCCUAGAAGGUCUGACCCAAGCACAGCUUCUCCAGGAAGUUCCCCAGUACUGGCUCAGGGCUUACUCUCUCUGCUUUACACCAGAUUAUUUAUUUUGCAUAUUUAUAACAAGAAAGAAGUCCUAAUAUCAUUUUUUUUCUCUCUCAUCUCUCCAUGCACUCUGUUUUUCCUGUAAAUAACUCGAUAAUCCUAGAAAACAUGUCUGUGUCUAAAACAAUAAGCAUUAACAAAAUACCACAAGGGCAGCUUCUGUUUCCAUAACACUAGUGACAUCACAAAGAAUACCAUGGAAUUCCAGGCAUGCAAUAGUGUACCAGAGGAGUGUCCCCUUCAACAGUACAUAACUAUCCAUUAACCAGAUAUUCUCCAAAUCAACAAGCCAAGUUGGCCUUUCCAGUACCUUUGCUGAGACACAAGGGAAGACUUUCCAUCACUCUACCUUCUAAAAAUGGAGAUAUGACUGAUUAAUUGAAUUUUUUCCUACCUUCAUGUACAGAUACUGAAGCCUAAACUUGCAAACAAAGCUCAGAAAUUGUUCAUCCCGACCUUACUAUGCACACUGAAAAUGACAAUGAAGAAAGGAAGUUGAGAACUUAGGUUUCCAGUCUUUUCAAUUCUCCUCCAAAUGUUUUGGAGAAGACAUCUAUUGUCAAGGCGAGGUACAACAGGCCCCAUCAGACAAAGAGGGCUGCAAAAUUUCUACUUUUAAAGGAUUCACUAGAAGCAGGGAAGUCCAGAUGCUUCUGACAGGCUCUGAGCUCCUGAUUCCAGGUGUGGAAGGUUCAGAUCAAUUCUAUCUCUUCAACUUACCUACUCGACACCUACCAAGGACUCAAUGACAUUCCCCAGGGUCGCCAUAUUUCUUCCUUUUUUUUAUACCAAGACAGAAGGCCAUCUUCAUUCUCAACAUCUUUGAGCUUUACAUUCUCUUUGUUCUCAAUCCCAAAUUGAUGUUUCCUCUGAACUAGAGGCCAAUUAGUAAACCCUAUAUUAUACUGAAUGAAUAUACAAGAGGCAUUUGCAGACACGACAACACUUGUGACAACACAGGAGAAAAUAGGGCUCUCCAGGAUACAAGAGAUUUUUCAUGGAAGGCCUAAUGAUGAUAUCACUGAGAACCGCCAUGGCCUACCUACAAACAGCUUUCUUUACACUGACCAGAUGUGAGAGUGCCUUUUCCAGGUAUGUCUCCUGUGACACAGGAAAAACCUUUAUGUACUCUAUCUCUUGAAAGCUAGAGACUUCUCUUCGCUUCAACAGUGUUUACAUGCUCUGAAUGGAGAAAGUUAUUCAGGGUCCUGGCAUGGGUAGAAAUGAUCUAGGAACGUGGAGAAGAGAAGAUUCUUCUGGAUAAUAUUUUUAUUCCCAGGUCCAAACCUGUGACAUACCGUUCAAUUUUCUAGGUUUUCUCUCUCUUGUAAUGGCCAGUAUUUUCCUUUCAGACCUUUAGAUGAAGGAAUAUUGUAUUUCUGUUUUAUUGUACAUUCUUUGAUAGGUGACUUUAUAAAUAUUCCUGAAUAUGUACUCAAAAAUUAUGUUUCGAAUUCUAUUUUCUGCUAUGUUUUUGGCAACAAAUGGGCCCCAGCUAUAGAGAGAGUAUAACAGUGUAAAUACUGUGUACCUACUUCAAAUGAUAAACUCCCAAAUCCUUAUUUUAUCCAAAGAUUACCAGACAUCAAUAAAGCAAAGGAUUACAUGAC